RNAcentral lists this ribosomal RNA (70 nucleotides) under Novosphingobium sp. PhB57. The record is from RNAcentral. Lineage: Bacteria; Pseudomonadati; Pseudomonadota; Alphaproteobacteria; Sphingomonadales; Sphingomonadaceae.
UCGGCCGUGAAACCUGACAGCGCCAAUGGUACUAACGCUCAAGCGUUGGAAGAGUAGGACGUCGCCAGGC